This 424-nucleotide ribosomal RNA is filed under the name bacterium. RNAcentral's name for it is "bacterial SSU rRNA". It matches the Rfam family "Bacterial small subunit ribosomal RNA", at positions 507 to 930 of the family's 1533-position model. The record is from RNAcentral.
GCCAGCAGCCGCGGUAAUACGAAGGGGGCUAGCGUUGCUCGGAAUUACUGGGCGUAAAGGGAGCGUAGGCGGACAUUUAAGUCAGGGGUGAAAUCCCGGGGCUCAACCUCGGAAUUGCCUUUGAUACUGGGUGUCUUGAGUAUGAGAGAGGUGUGUGGAACUCCGAGUGUAGAGGUGAAAUUCGUAGAUAUUCGGAAGAACACCAGUGGCGAAGGCGACACACUGGCUCAUUACUGACGCUGAGGCUCGAAAGCGUGGGGAGCAAACAGGAUUAGAUACCCUGGUAGUCCACGCCGUAAACGAUGAUUGCUAGUUGUCGGGAUGCAUGCAUUUCGGUGACGCAGCUAACGCAUUAAGCAAUCCGCCUGGGGAGUACGGUCGCAAGAUUAAAACUCAAAGGAAUUGACCGGGGGCCCGCACAAGC